GGUUUACUUGUGCUCUAUAGAGGAAGAAAUUAUCAUCCCAAGAAGAGACCUGUUAUCCCCUUAAUGCUCUGGAAGCCUCACGAACCUGUAUAUCCCAGGCUUAUAAAAACUACUAUCGAUGGCUUGAGUAUCGAGGAAACUAAAGAGAUGAGAAAAAGAGGAUUAGCUGUUCCUGCAUUAACAAAACUAGCCAAAAAUGGUUACUAUGGAAGUCUUGUACCGAUGGUACGAGAUGCUUUUCUCAGUGAGGAGCUGGU
RNAcentral lists this unclassified non-coding RNA (257 nucleotides) under Hevea brasiliensis (rubber tree). Lineage: Eukaryota; Viridiplantae; Streptophyta; Magnoliopsida; Malpighiales; Euphorbiaceae. The record is from RNAcentral.